UCAGCAGCGAGAGGUGCUGCGGCUCUGCGUAAAAAUAUCAAUCAGCCGGUUGCUUUUGUGAGAAGAAUUCCUUGGACUGUGGCGUCGAGUCAGCUGAAAGAACACUUUGCACAGUUCGGCCAUGUCAGAAGGUGCAUGUUACCUUUUAGAUGGGGUUUCGCCAUGUUGCUUAUGCUGGUCUUGUCAAACUCCUGGGCUCAAGCUAUCCACACACCUCGGCCUCCCAAAAUGUUGAGAUUACAGGUGUGAGCCACUGUGCUGGCUUAUUUUUGUGGAGAUGGGGGUCUUGCCAUGUUGCCCAGGCUGAUCUUGAACUCCUGGCUUCAAGCAAUCCUCCUGCAUUGGCCUUCCAAAGUGCUGGGAUUACAGGCGUGAGCCACCGUGCCCGGCCUACAGUCUUUAUUGAUUACAUUUUGAAUGAUACUGAUUAAAAAGUGAAAAAGC
This 444-nucleotide small RNA is filed under the name Pongo abelii (Sumatran orangutan). RNAcentral's name for it is "retained intron". Lineage: Eukaryota; Metazoa; Chordata; Mammalia; Primates; Hominidae. The record is from RNAcentral.